This 571-nucleotide long non-coding RNA is filed under the name Helianthus annuus (common sunflower). Its description in RNAcentral is "sRNA HanXRQr2_Chr07g0309211". The record is from RNAcentral. Lineage: Eukaryota; Viridiplantae; Streptophyta; Magnoliopsida; Asterales; Asteraceae.
AUGAGAAGCAGGUUAAUAUACGAUAUUGUAGAUAUGCAGCGACACCUACUACAAAGACCAGGCUGCUGUUGGCGAUGACAGUGGAAGAUGGCGUCGCGAUAGUCGUUUGGCUAGAACGGGUGACAAUAGUCUGAAAUUAGGAGGAAUGUUGAAGGAACAUACUUUGCCGGCGACAUCCCCCCUCAAACUCCUUUUAUGAAACAACGUUGUCUAGCAACAACGACCAAUACCUCUCCACCCAAAAUCGACGACGCCGGCGGCAUAACCACCACCAAAUCGAAGGCUUUUGUAAGGCGAUAGGGCUUCAGGAGCCGAUCUAGCAACACCAAUGAACACAGCUCUGCUCAAAAUUGACGCCCUAAACCCAACCACCAACAAAUCGAAGCCUUUCAUCAGGCGAUUAGGACUCCAGCAGUUAUGAUUUCACAACUUAGGUUACUCUUUACAACUUCGAUUGUUCAUUAGGAAGAAUCGUGGGAAAAUUUUUAACGAAUUCACUAUUUUUUUUUAACUUUGGGCUCUUAAUAAGGUAAUGUGAUGUUGAAGAAGCUGAUGUUCACCCAUUUCUCUU